GACGAACGCUGGCGGCGUGCUUAACACAUGCAAGUCGAACGGUGAAGCGCCUUCCUUUUUGGUGGGUGUGGAUGAGUGGCGAACGGGUGAGUAACACGUGAGUAACCUGCCCCCUUCUUCUGGAUAACCGCAUGAAAGUGUGGCUAAUACGGGAUAUUCUGGGUCUGUCGCAUGAUGGGUCUGGGAAAGAUAUUGUUUCGGUGGGGGAUGGGCUCGCGGCCUAUCAGCUUGUUGGUGGGGUGAUGGCCUACCAAGGCGGGGACGGGUAGCCGGCCUGAGAGGGUGGACGGUCACACUGGGACUGGGACACGGCCCAGACUCCUACGGGAGGCAGCAGUGGGGAAUAUUGCACAAUGGGCGCAAGCCUGAUGCAGCGACGCCGCGUGAGGGAUGGAGGCCUUCGGGUUGUGAACCUCUUUCGCCAGUGAAGCAGGCCUGCCUCGUUUGUGGGUGGGUUGACGGUAGCUGGAUAAGAAGCGCCGGCUAACUACGUG
Molecule: ribosomal RNA, 494 nt
Filed under: uncultured bacterium
Lineage: Bacteria
Description: partial 16S ribosomal RNA
Rfam family: Bacterial small subunit ribosomal RNA
Source: RNAcentral